GAUGAACGCUGGCGGCGUGCCUAAUACAUGCAAGUCGAGCGAACAGACGAGGAGCUUGCUCCUCUGACGUUAGCGGCGGACGGGUGAGUAACACGUGGAUAACCUACCUAUAAGACUGGGAUAACUUCGGGAAACCGGAGCUAAUACCGGAUAAUAUAUUGAACCGCAUGGUUCAAUAGUGAAAGACGGUUUUGCUGUCACUUAUAGAUGGAUCCGCGCCGCAUUAGCUAGUUGGUAAGGUAACGGCUUACCAAGGCAACGAUGCGUAGCCGACCUGAGAGGGUGAUCGGCCUCACUGGAACUGAGACACGGUCCAGACUCCUACGGGAGGCAGCAGUAGGGAAUCUUCCGCAAUGGGCGAAAGCUUGACGGAGCAACGCCGCGUGAGUGAUGAAGGUCUUCGGAUCGUAAAACCCUGUUAUUAGGGAAGAACAAAUGUGUAAGUAACUAUGCACGUCUUGACGGUACCUAAUCAGAAAGCCACGGCUAACUACGUG
RNAcentral lists this ribosomal RNA (497 nucleotides) under uncultured bacterium. RNAcentral describes it as "partial 16S ribosomal RNA". It matches the Rfam family "Bacterial small subunit ribosomal RNA", at positions 28 to 507 of the family's 1533-position model. The record is from RNAcentral.